RNAcentral lists this ribosomal RNA (1010 nucleotides) under Sitaphe parallelipennis. RNAcentral's name for it is "eukaryotic LSU rRNA". It matches the Rfam family "Eukaryotic large subunit ribosomal RNA", at positions 107 to 785 of the family's 3401-position model. The record is from RNAcentral. Lineage: Eukaryota; Metazoa; Arthropoda; Insecta; Coleoptera; Carabidae.
GCCCAGCACUGAAGCCCGUGAUCGUAAUUCGGUCACUGGGCAAUGUAGUGUUUGGGAGAGCCCGUUUAACCAAGGCAUUUACUUAUGCGUCCAAGUCCUUCUUGAAGGGGGCCCGUUCGCCCAUAGAGGGUGCUAGGCCCGUAGUGACCAUACAGUAUGUUUUGGUGGGUUUCUCCUUAGAGUCGAGUUGCUUGAGAGUGCAGCUCUAAGUGGGUGGUAAACUCCAUCUAAGGCUAAAUAUAACCACGAGACCGAUAGCGAACAAGUACCGUGAGGGAAAGUUGAAAAGAACUUUGCAGAGAGAGUUCAAGAGUACGUGAAACCGUUCAGGGGUAAACCUGAGAAGCCCGAAAGGUCGAACGGAGAGAUUCAUUUGCCUUUUCCAGUAAUAACGUUACUGACAGUUGACUAUUUGAGACGUAUCAUGCGUACGUACAUUCUGUUUCGGCAGGGUACGUAGCCAGUAUGUUAUGCUCCGCUGUUGUAAUUAUUUGUUUUAUUAUUGGAGGCAUGCACUUCUCUCCUUGUAGGACAUCGUAACUCAUUGAGUAUGUUGUCUAAGGUUCACAAUGGAGACCGGAGCGACAAUUUUUUUUUCGAAAAAAUUUGUGCGUUACCGAACAUGUGGUGUCCCGACAUCUACACGAUGGUAUAACAAUAUGAUGAUAGGCCACAAACUUAUAUAUAUGUAUUUAAACUCAUAGCAAGUUUAAUAUACGGUCAGUAAAAUAUGGACCUAGUGCCGAUUUUGCGCGUAUAUUGCUGUUGGUUAUGAUGUUCUUUAAAUUAUUGGUCUUUAAAUCAUCCGUUAACGAUGAUAAUGUUUUGGGUUGUUCUCAGGACCCGUCUUGAAACACGGACCAAGGAGUCUAGCAUGUGCGCUAGUCAUUGGGUACAUACAAUACCUAAAGGCGUAAUGAAAGUGAAAAUUUACUUCGGUAAAUUAAGGGAAUAUGAUUGAUAUAUUAUUUAUUGAUCCGCACUCCUGGGACGUCGYGUACUCAUGCGAG